RNAcentral lists this long non-coding RNA (206 nucleotides) under Vigna radiata. Its description in RNAcentral is "long non-coding RNA (VRAD_LNC011661)". The record is from RNAcentral. Lineage: Eukaryota; Viridiplantae; Streptophyta; Magnoliopsida; Fabales; Fabaceae.
UUAAAAGUAAUUUUACUUUAAAGGAUGUCUAGGAGUAGUGAGUCUGAGAAGCAAUAUAUUCUUAGGAAACUAAUGCAACAAAUUGGGAAUAUUAAAGAGAGCUUGAAUCAAGAUAGGCUUAAUAGGGAGGUGCAAACCUCAUUCAUUCAAAGUGAAAUUAGAGCCAUAAAAGAAGAACAAAAGAAACAAAGAAAAGAAUUGCUGAG